Nothobranchius furzeri (turquoise killifish) is the source of this 2834-nucleotide non-coding RNA. The record is from the annotation of a RefSeq genome assembly. Lineage: Eukaryota; Metazoa; Chordata; Actinopteri; Cyprinodontiformes; Nothobranchiidae.
AAUUGCACCAUAAUAAAGGCAUGGGCUACCGUCUCAAGUAGGGUUGUCACGGUAACCGGUAUAGCGGUAAACCCCGGUAAAAAAGUUGACAAUAAAAAUAACCGUCCCGUUUUUAAAAAACUAAAUUAUCUCGGUGGGUUUACCGUGGCCGCGGUUUCGGCGCGGUGACCUUUACCAGCCACCGUCGCUUCAGCUGAAGUUCCCGCGGCGCGCACACGCACUUUUUAGUUUGCAACGGCACCAAAACUUUGAAGCUGAAAUAAUGGCCGAAGGAGGAGACGGCAGCGCCCAGGACAUCCAUCAGCCCUCAAAGAAGACUAAAUUGGAAGUAUGGGCAAUUUUGGAUUUCUGAAAAAUGCUGAGGGACAGGUAAUAGAAGACGGCUAUCCCGUUUGCAGAACGUGCAGGAAACAAGUGUCUGCAGAAGGCAGCAACACUUCGAAUCUAAUGGCACAUCUGCCUGACCAUCACCCACGUCUCUACAGCCAGUGCAAGGUAAGUUAACAUUAGCAUUUUAGCUUAAACGUGAGGACGUGAGGACUUUUGGUUGAGAGAGAAUGCAACGAGUCACUAUAUACUGCAGCCGCAGCGUCCUCUGCCAGUAUUUAAACCGUGUCACGGACACCCUGUUGCUGGAUGAAGCAUCUUAUUUGUUGAUGAUGAAGAGAAAUAUACAAUUAGUUCCUUGUCAUUGAUUUGUUUACUUAUUCAAUGCCAUUUAUACUUGAACAUUUGGAUUUGAUUACAUAGUGUGGUAGUUAUUUUAGUAAUUUGUUUAAAGUGGCUAUUUAUUUUAAAUACAUAUUUUUUUAAGGUUGACUUGUACAGUGCUCAAGUCAAGCGUGGACUGGAGUUUUAGAUUUUCAUUUUGAUAAUGAAGAAAACAAGUAUAUGAGAAAACAAGUGAUGUUUCUUUGAUUUGUUUACAUAUGUUUAUGUUUUGAAUGUUUGGAUUUGUAUAAUUUAAACCUGCACUGACUACUGUAACACGUUCCAGAAAAAGAAGCUAUUUGUUCCUUUACUUGUGAAAAGUUGCACUUUUGCUAAGGCUUUGUGUUAUUUUAGGUUUAAUAAACACUGUUAAACCUUUUCAGAACUAUUUCAGUUUGUGUAGAACAGGACUAUCAAUGCUUUCUGAACAUAUGCAACACCGUUUAAAAAAUACCGCGAUAAUACCGAAAACCGUGAUAAUUUUGGUCACAAUAACCGUGAGGUUAAAUUUUCAUACCGUGACAACCCUAGUCUCAAGAUCAUGACGUGACAAAAAUGGUUUGAUCUUUGCCAACUGACAAAGGUGGAAAAGGAGGAGGAGAUCAGUCCAUUGAUGUGGGUAUCAAAACUAAGGGCGCUAUCCAGUUUAACACCAAGAUUAGUCACCGAUGUAGUCAGCUGGCCAUUAAAUGACCCACAGUCAGUUAGGGAAGAGUCACAAUGUAUGCUUGGAGCAAACAAUAUAGCCUCUGUUUUCUGAUCAUUUAGGCUCAGAACAUUUUCAGUCAUCCAGGUCUUGAUCUCCCUCAAACAGUUAGUAAGAAUAGAAAUAUUUUAAAGGGCGUAUGACAAUCAUACACCAAUCUUGGGUGAGCGGGUUGUAACACAUAGUCUAAAAACAACAAAAAUACAAAAAGUAGAGGAGCUGACAGACGGCAAGCCGGCAACACUGGCGCCAUCUUGACUGUCUUUAGUCCACACAUACACACGCACACACACACACACACACACACACACACACACACACACACACACACACACACACACACACACACACACACACACACACUGGUGUGGGGUGGACUACAUCUGAUGGACAGACUAGACCCUCUGGAGAUGCCGCUACACGCGCUGCAGCAACUGGACUUGGGGACAGCGAAGGUUUUAAACAAUAAUCCAUGGUUAGGAGCUGCAAACGGCCUCCUCUCACUGUUCCUUUCUGUUUGGUGCUCCAAACAUUUGUGCUGAACUAAAAGGCUCAUUAGCUUUUCUCCACUACAACGUAGCUAAACCUUCACAAUAGACAACUCCAGAUGGUUUAAGCUCUUAAAGUAGUACUUAGGUGGUAAUCAUGUAUUUGAAGAAGUCAGAAUGGUCCAUGUGGGCAGGAGAUGCAGAGCUGCUGCACCACCUCCUCAUGAGGAUCCAGACAGGUCUCCUCCUACUGAUGGGACUGUAGAGCUGCUGCAGACAGACAGCUGAGGGCAUCAAAGCAACAUUUCACCUGCAGAAGAAUGGAAACGCUGGCUGUCAUCUGGUUCUGCUCAGCUCUCGUAGCUAAAAGCCUGGAAGCGGAGAUUACUGCCAGCAGAGCUGAAGUGGUUUCAUCAGAGGGAUCAAAACUUCAUCUGUCCUGCAACUAUUCAGUCAAAGCACACAACCUCCAGUGGUACCGACAGGAUCCUGGAUCAGCUCCUCGCGUCCUGCUCCUCAUCACUGACACCAAAGAACCCACGGUGGUAGAAGGAGAACCUCCAAACCCCCGACUGACAGCAGAACUGAACGAGGAGAGAAAUCGUGUGGACUUGCUGAUCUCCUCUGCUGCAGCGACAGACUCUGCUGUGUACUACUGUGCUCUGCAGCCCACAGUGACAGGAAACAGUAAAAGUGUGUAGAAAACCUGCAGAGCAAAGACAACACAAUACUCCACAACAUCCACUAGAGGGACUCACACAGUGAGAACCCAGAUGUAUUUUAGAUCCAAUCCCAACCAAAUGAUCUAAAGAUGCAUUUCCUUUGGUUACUGCCCCAUUCUAGAUAGAACCAGUAUAUCCUUACUAAAUGGAUACGUACCACAGGAUUUUGAGGUUGCUGUAAUCAAACCUCUACUUAAGAAACCUUUU